AUUGAACGCUGGCGGCAGGCUUAACACAUGCAAGUCGAGCGGAGCGAGGGUGCUUGCACCUUAGCUUAGCGGCGGACGGGUGAGUAAUGCUUAGGAAUCUGCCUAUUAGUGGGGGACAACAUUCCGAAAGGAAUGCUAAUACCGCAUACGCCCUACGGGGGAAAGCAGGGGAUCUUCGGACCUUGCGCUAAUAGAUGAGCCUAAGUCGGAUUAGCUAGUUGGUGGGGUAAAGGCCUACCAAGGCGACGAUCUGUAGCGGGUCUGAGAGGAUGAUUCGCCACACUGGGACUGAGACACGGCCCAGACUCCUACGGGAGGCAGCAGUGGGGAAUAUUGGACAAUGGGCGGAAGCCUGAUCCAGCCAUGCCGCGUGUGUGAAGAAGGCCUUUUGGUUGUAAAGCACUUUAAGCGAGGAGGAGGCUACUUAGAUUAAUACUCUGGGAUAGUGGACGUUACUCGCAGAAUAAGCACCGGCUAACUCUGUGCCAGCCGCCGCGGUAA
This 501-nucleotide ribosomal RNA is filed under the name uncultured bacterium. Its description in RNAcentral is "partial 16S ribosomal RNA". It matches the Rfam family "Bacterial small subunit ribosomal RNA", at positions 30 to 523 of the family's 1533-position model. The record is from RNAcentral.